CCUACGGGUGGCAGCAGUGGGGCAUAUUGCACAAUGGGGGAAACACUGAUGCAGCGACGCCGCGUGAGUGAAGAAGUAUUUCGGUAUGUACAGCUCUAUCAGCAGGGCAGAAAAAAGACGGUACCUGACUAAGAAGCCCCGGCUAACUACGUGCCAGCAGCCGCUGAAAUAAGUAGGGGGCAAGCGUUAUACGGAUUUAAUGGGUGUAAAGGGAGCGUAGACGGUAUUGCAAGUCUGAAGUGAAAGCCCAGGGCUUAACCCUGGUACUGCUUUGGAAACGGUUAGACUAGAGUGCUGGAGAGGUAAGUGGAAGUCCUAGUGUAGCGGUGAAAGGCGUAGAUAUUAGGAGGAACACCAGUGGCGAAGGCGGCUUACUGGACAGUAACUGACGUUGAGGCUCGAAAGCGUGGGGAGCAAACAGGAUUAGAUACCCCUGUAGUC
This 441-nucleotide ribosomal RNA is filed under the name uncultured bacterium. RNAcentral describes it as "partial 16S ribosomal RNA". It matches the Rfam family "Bacterial small subunit ribosomal RNA", at positions 338 to 795 of the family's 1533-position model. The record is from RNAcentral.